GACGAACGCUGGCGGCGUGCCUAAUACAUGCAAGUAGAACGCUGAAGCGAGGAGCUUGCUCUUCUUGGAUGAGUUGCGAACGGGUGAGUAACGCGUAGGUAACCUGCCUUGUAGCGGAGGAUAACUAUUGGAAACGAUAGCUAAUACCGCAUAACAAUGGAUGACACAUGUCAUUUAUUUGAAAGGGGCAAUUGCUCCACUACAAGAUGGACCUGCGUUGUAUUAGCUAGUAGGUGAGGUAAUGGCUCACCUAGGCGACGCUACAUAGCCGACCUGAGAGGGUGGUCGGCCACACUGGGAAUGGGACACGGCCCAGACGCCUACGGGAGGCAGCAGGAAGGAAUCUUCGGCGAUGGGGGCAACCCUUACCGAGCAACGCCGGGUGAGUGAAGAAGGGUUUCGGAUCGUAAAGCUCUGUUGUAAGUGAAGAAAGGGUGUGAGAGUGGAAAGUUCACACUGUGACGGUAGCUUACCAGAAAGGGACGGCUAACUACGUG
RNAcentral lists this ribosomal RNA (497 nucleotides) under uncultured bacterium. RNAcentral describes it as "partial 16S ribosomal RNA". It matches the Rfam family "Bacterial small subunit ribosomal RNA", at positions 28 to 507 of the family's 1533-position model. The record is from RNAcentral.